Molecule: non-coding RNA, 101 nt
Organism: Acanthosepion pharaonis
Lineage: Eukaryota; Metazoa; Mollusca; Cephalopoda; Sepiida; Sepiidae
Source: the annotation of a GenBank genome assembly
CAUUGAAAACACCAGUUCUUGUACGAUCACCGAAGUUAAGCAACGCCGAGCCUGGUCAAUACCUGGACGGGUGACCGCUUGGAAAUACCGGGUACUGUAAG